GACGGAGGAUGCAAGCGUUAUCCGGAAUGAUUGGGCGUAAAGCGUCCGCAGGUGGCAGUUCAAGUCUGCUGUCAAAGACCGGGGCUUAACUUCGGAAAGGCAGUGGAAACUGAACAGCUAGAGUAUGGUAGGGGCAGAGGGAAUUCCUGGUGUAGCGGUGAAAUGCGUAGAUAUCGAGAGGAACACUCGUGGCGAAAGCGAGUUGCUGGACAGUAUCUGACGCUGAGGCUCGAAGGCCAGGGUAGCGAAAGGG
RNAcentral lists this ribosomal RNA (253 nucleotides) under uncultured bacterium. RNAcentral describes it as "partial 16S ribosomal RNA". It matches the Rfam family "Bacterial small subunit ribosomal RNA", at positions 524 to 776 of the family's 1533-position model. The record is from RNAcentral.